This 2322-nucleotide long non-coding RNA is filed under the name Mytilus galloprovincialis (Mediterranean mussel). The record is from RNAcentral. Lineage: Eukaryota; Metazoa; Mollusca; Bivalvia; Mytilida; Mytilidae.
AAUUUUUGCAGUCGUCUAAAAUGUGUUCAAUGAGUUAUACAUAACAUAGUAGCCAGCUAUAUAAAAACAACGACACGUAUUUCACCAUUUAUUGGUUGGAACACAAAUCUAGGGUGCUUACAUAAUAAUGCAGCUUAAUAUUAACUGCAUAAAAAUCCAAACCAUGACCACAAGGACACCUUCAAUAUAUGUACAAACAUACAGUGAAAACUUCCUAGGAUUCAAACUGUAGGAGGAGUCAUGUGGAACAGCUAUAUACCCAUAAUGGGACAGAAGGACGGCUGGACAGGGGUACAAUAAUAUGUCCCAGACUUUUAGUCGCAGAGGGAUAAAAAUUGCAGGUCCCCAAGUGAAUUAAACACAAAGUGCUGUAGACAGCAAAUUCUCUGCAAGAAAGAUAGAAUAAAGAGUAAUACACACCAUUCAAUAUACAUACUUUUCCUUUUUACAAGUUUUUUUAUACAGAAAUACAAACAUAAUAAUUGUAAUUUUCAGUAUUAUAUACAUAAAUGGCAUACACACAUUAGAAUCAUUAAAAUAUGUUAUUUCCGUAGCCAGUAACUUAAGACCCCACCCAGCAUAACAUGGCAUGCAAUUCAUAUUUAAUAAACAGCUGUGUAAGGAGCACAUUCUGCCUUUAUCAUGUUUAUUAUGCAUAUUGAAAUUGUCAAAAGUAAAAUUAGAAUAUUUAGAAGGCAUUCAAAGGGUAAUCAGCAGCAAAUGAAAUGGCACUGAAGAAAAACAUGAAUGAGGAUACCCUAGCUAGUAUUGCGUCUAAUUGCUGUUCAUAGUCCUAUAAAUCUAUAAGGACAAACCAAAUAAAUUUCAAAACCAAAAGCCCGUCUUGAUUAACUUUUACAAGAGUAUUGAUUUUGUAAAAAAAUUGAUCAACAAUUCUAAAGCUAGUAAAUGACAUUGUUUAAAGUGGCAAAAGCUUAAUUACUGUGAACAACAUGGCAAAAAGUAUGAAAAUCUAGAGAGUUUUUAUCUAUCAAUCAUAUUGUUAUAUCAAAAAUACAUAGUAUUGGUUAAAGUAAAUUUGAAUAUCAUACAUUGGGCUGAAAUAUGGAUAUUGGUAUACCAUAAUAAUCUAGGUCUUUUAUAGUUGCACGAUCGUAUAAAAGCAAGUGGCAGAUUAAUACUAAAAACUGUUUACAUAGAGAUAUAUCUUAUCUCUAUUUUGCUAGAAAAAUGUAUAUUCAAAAUUAAAAUGGCAGUAACAUGAGUAAUUUAACAUGUAAAUUAUGCACAACAUUCAGUCAAUGAUUGAAAGUGCAGUGUCAAAUAACCUUCAUGGAAUUGAUCACUGACUUAUCAUCAUAGAUAUGAUAUGUGCCAAUGCUUAUACAACUACUGUAGGUGGGUCCAGGGGGGCCCUGCCCCCCCUUUUCAUGGGAAAAAUUUGGUUGAUUAUAUUGAGAAUCGUUGAAGCCUGACUGGAGCAGGCUCCCAAUCUUGGGAAAAGUUCUGGAUCAGCCACUGCUACAUGCCAAAUAUUGUUGAAUUACCAUUAGCUGUUCAUCUUUAAUGGACCUAAUCACAAUUUCUUAUAUAUACAAACUACGGAUUUUUUUUUAGUUUUUAGUAAAUAGACCAUAAAAAAAUAUCUAUAGGAAUAAGAGGUGAAAAUCUUACAACUCUAUACAAAACAUCAUUGACCUACCAAAUUAUAGACCAUUACUGAGGGGGCACGGCUUAUAAACUGAUCCAAACACAAACUAAAACAGAAACAACAUACAAAUGUUUCGCUUUUUGACUAAAAAGCAUGACAAAAAGGAAAUUGACAGUUUUGUCUGAGAUCUAUUUAUGUAAUUUGUAUUAGGUUUUUUUUCAGUAAUAAUUCAGUUGUGAGUAAAUGAAAACUAGUGUUGUACUGAACAAGUUAAACAUAAAAUAAGUUAAAUUCAUAAAAUUAAUAAUAAGGUGACAUUAUACAAUUCAAAUACAUUCCUAUUAGACAUUUGCGGAAACUCUAGGAUUACACUUUAGACUUACGAUUACAGGUAACAAAAACAAGGGGUCAUCUCAAAAUACAAAAACAAACCAACAAUACAUAUACAAAAUAGCAAAUUGAAUGCAUAUUUUGAUAUUUUAUCCCUAAAGAAGUGUUGUGUACGGUAUGAUUAUGAUUGGUACCCAUUACUUUUGCCCUGUACACUGUAUUAGGUUUCUUUCAGAUAAAACAUGUUAAUGUCUCAACAAAUGUGUUGAAAAUGAAAAUAAGUGUUGACAUUCACAACUAUUUGCACAUAAACAAGUUAAUUGUUUUUAUUGUAAAUUAAGCAUACACUUAUCUAAAAUGUUUCAAUAAGUAGAAUGAUU